RNAcentral lists this RNase P RNA (314 nucleotides) under pig gut metagenome. RNAcentral describes it as "Bacterial RNase P class A". It matches the Rfam family "Bacterial RNase P class A", at positions 35 to 357 of the family's 367-position model. Rfam says of the family: Ribonuclease P (RNase P) is a ubiquitous endoribonuclease, found in archaea, bacteria and eukarya as well as chloroplasts and mitochondria. Its best characterised activity is the generation of mature 5'-ends of tRNAs by cleaving the 5'-leader elements of precursor-tRNAs. Cellular RNase Ps are ribonucleoproteins. The record is from RNAcentral.
UUUGACUCGAGGAAAGUCCGAGCUCCAUAGGGCAGGAUGCCGGAUAACGUCCGGCGUGGGUGACCAUAGGGAAUAGUGCCACAGAAACGUAGACCGCCGCAUUUGCGGUAAGGGUGGAACGGUGCGGUAAGAGCGCACCAGCAGUACGGUAACGUACUGGCUCGGUAAACCCCAUCCGGAGCAAGGCCGAAUAGGAAAAGAAUACCGGUGGCCCGCCGGCUUUUCGGGUUGUGCCGCUUGAGCAUGCAGGUAACUGCAUGCCUAGAAAGAUAAUUAUCGCUGCUUUGCAGUACAGAACUCGGCUUAUUGACUAC